Molecule: ribosomal RNA, 497 nt
Filed under: uncultured bacterium
Lineage: Bacteria
Description: partial 16S ribosomal RNA
Rfam family: Bacterial small subunit ribosomal RNA
Source: RNAcentral
GACGAACGCUGGCGGCGUGCCUAAUACAUGCAAGUAGAACGCUGAAGCGAGGAGCUUGCUCUUCUUGGAUGAGUUGCGAACGGGUGAGUAACGCGUAGGUAGCCUGCCUUGUAGCGGGGGAUAACUAUUGGAAACGAUAGCUAAUACCGCAUAACAAUGGAUGACACAUGUCAUUUAUUUGAAAGGGGCAAUUGCUCCACUACAAGAUGGACCUGCGUUGUAUUAGCUAGUAGGUGAGGUAAUGGCUCACCUAGGCGACGAUACCUAGCCGACCUGAGAGGGUGAUCGGCCACACUGGGACUGAGACACGGCCCAGACUCCUACGGGAGGCAGCAGUAGGGAAUCUUCGGCAAUGGGGGCAACCCUGACCGAGCAACGCCGCGUGAGUGAAGAAGGUUUUCGGAUCGUAAAGCUCUGUUGUAAGUCAAGAACGGGUGUGAGAGUGGAAAGUUCACACUGUGACGGUAGCUUACCAGAAAGGGACGGCUAACUACGUG